UGUCAAAUAUUUAUGCAGAUUGUUUCCAAAUGUUUCGGAUGCAUUUAAUAUAUUUUUUUUGAAACGACAAAUAACAGUAGCAUAUGCUAAAAGAAGAUUUUUAAAGAAAAAANAAUUGAAAGUAAAAUUUUUAAAAUUUAAAUUAAUACAAAUCUAAUUAGGAUGUGCAUGUCGUAAGACGAGUUGAAUGUUUUGGCAAUUUUAUCUUGAAAAAGAUACAUUAGAAAAGAUUGCUGAUGUUGAUGAGAUUAAAUUAAUGAUUUUUUAUCUACAAAUGUUAAACGAUUUCGUGUCUUAAUUAAGUUAUGAUAUUGUAUUUGUGUGUGUGUCUUAUGCUAUUGUAUUGUGUGUGUAUUCCACGUGAAUGUCCAUAUAUAGAAAUCAUUUAAAUUGUACAUGGAAUUUUCAAUUUUGUAGAUCAUUUGAAUCGUACAUGGAAUUUACAGUUUGAUUUAUUCUAUAAGUUUUCUUAUAUAUUAUGGCCCUUAUGUGAUAUUUCUUCUUUUGUGGCCAACAUCUAUUUCUAAUAUAAUAUAAAUGGUUUCUAUAUGGCCUUUAUUUCACAUCUAUUUCCAACACUAUAGGCCAAAUUAAUUUCUAUAAAAUGAUUUAUAAUUAUAAAUGGUUUGUACGUGUAAUGUAGCUA
This 646-nucleotide long non-coding RNA is filed under the name Salvia miltiorrhiza (redroot sage). RNAcentral's name for it is "long non-coding RNA (SMIL_LNC002234)". The record is from RNAcentral. Lineage: Eukaryota; Viridiplantae; Streptophyta; Magnoliopsida; Lamiales; Lamiaceae.